This 251-nucleotide ribosomal RNA is filed under the name uncultured prokaryote. Its description in RNAcentral is "partial 16S rRNA". It matches the Rfam family "Bacterial small subunit ribosomal RNA", at positions 525 to 775 of the family's 1533-position model. The record is from RNAcentral.
ACGUAGGGGGCAAGCGUUAUCCGGAAUAAUUGGGCAUAAAGGGCGCGUAGGCGGCCUGGUAAGUCUGGAGUGAAAGUCCUGCUUUUAAGGGGGGAAUUGCUUUGGAUACUGUCGGACUUGAGUGCAGAAGCGGUCAGUGGAAUUCACGGUGUAGCGGUGAAAUGCGUAGAGAUCGGGAAGAACACAAGUGGCGAAGGCGACUUACCGGACUGUAACUGUCCCUAAGGCGCAAAACAGUGGCGAGCAUACAG